GACGAACGCUGGCGGCGUGCCUAAUACAUGCAAGUAGAACGCUGAAGGAAGGAGCUUGCUCUUUCUGGAUGAGUUGCGAACGGGUGAGUAACGCGUAGGUAACCUGCCUGGUAGCGGGGGAUAACUAUUGGAAACGAUAGCUAAUACCGCAUAAAAUUGAUUAUUGCAUGAUAGUCAAUUAAAAGGUGCAACUGCACCACUACCAGAUGGACCUGCGUUGUAUUAGCUAGUUGGUGGGGUAACGGCUCACCAAGGCGACGAUACAUAGCCGACCGGAGAGGGGGAGCGGCCACAGUGGGAAUGAGACACGGGCCAGAGUAGUAAGGGAGGAAGAAGUAGGGAAGAUUACGAAAUGGGCGAAAGACGGAAGGAGAAAUGGGGGGGGAGUGAGGAAGGUCUUAGGAUCGUAAAAAUAUGUUAUGAGGGAAGAAAAAAUGUGUAAGUAAAUAUGCACGGCUUGACGGAACCUAAUCAGAAAGCCACGGCUAACUACGUG
Molecule: ribosomal RNA, 496 nt
Filed under: uncultured bacterium
Lineage: Bacteria
Description: partial 16S ribosomal RNA
Rfam family: Bacterial small subunit ribosomal RNA
Source: RNAcentral